Molecule: ribosomal RNA, 452 nt
Filed under: uncultured bacterium
Lineage: Bacteria
Description: bacterial SSU rRNA
Rfam family: Bacterial small subunit ribosomal RNA
Source: RNAcentral
GAUGAACGCUGGCGGCGUGCUUAACACAUGCAAGUCGAACGAAGCACUUUACCUGAUUUCCUUCGGGGAUGAUUGUUCUGUGACUGAGUGGCGGACGGGUGAGUAACGCGUGGAUAACCUGCCUCACACAGGGGGAUAACAGUUGGAAACGACUGCUAAUACCGCAUAAGCGCACAGCACCGCAUGGUGCAGUGUGAAAAACUCCGGUGGUGUGAGAUGGAUCCGCGUCUGAUUAGCUUGUUGGCGGGGUAACGGCCCACCAAGGCGACGAUCAGUAGCCGGCCUGAGAGGGCGACCGGCCACAUUGGGACUGAGACACGGCCCAGACUCCUACGGGAGGCAGCAGUGGGGAAUAUUGCACAAUGGGGGAAACCCUGAUGCAGCGACGCCGCGUGAGCGAUGAAGUAUUUCGGUAUGUAAAGCUCUAUCAGCAGGGAAGAUAAUGACGGUAC